This 247-nucleotide ribosomal RNA is filed under the name uncultured bacterium. Its description in RNAcentral is "partial 16S ribosomal RNA". It matches the Rfam family "Bacterial small subunit ribosomal RNA", at positions 15 to 244 of the family's 1533-position model. The record is from RNAcentral.
GAUCAUGGCUCAGGAUGAACGCUGGCGGCGUGCUUAACACAUGCAAGUCGAACGGGAAACAUUUCAUUGAGGCUUCGGCGGAUUUGGUCUGUUUCUAGUGGCGGACGGGUGAGUAACGCGUGGGUAACCUGCCUUAUACUGGGGGAUAACAGCCAGAAAUGGCUGCUAAUACCGCAUAAGCGCACGGGGCCGCAUGGUCCUGUGUGAAAAAACUCCGGUGGUAUAAGAUGGACCCGCGUUGGAUUAG